UCUCUCGCUCGUUCCAACCAAAUCAGGGGCCGGCGGCAGCUAACCCUUGCACUAUGGAGGUGGCGGAGGCGGCGGCGGUAGAACCUAGCGCUAUGGACUCAUCAGUGCAGCGGACGGUGAUGACAGCCAGUGGAUGAUGGCACCUCAGGUCCAUAAAGCGUUGUCUCCUCUCCAUCGACAUGACCAGCGCCAAAGGUAUGUGUUCCUGUCAACCUCCUAUGUCGCCUUCAGUUGCUCCGUACGUUUCAGCCCACGUUCGAUGCCUCUCCUCCAGUCACACAACGACCAUCACUUUGCCUCUUUCUCUUCCCCAUGGAGGCACCUCCCCACGUUCUAGAUGCGCCAUGACUCUGGAUCGGGCGCAAGUCGCCGCAAUAGGAUAGCAGGUCUGGUGUGGUUUCAUGGUGGGUGUUCAUGAGCAGGAGGAGGUUGGGGAGGAUGCUGCCAUCACUGCCUACCACUGCUACUAGUCGUCGUGCCCCAUCCCCAACCUAGGUUGCCAGGGGCGGAGCUACAGGGUGGACAGGGUGGGCCGCGGCCCACCCUGAGAUUUUGGGCUGGUAUAUAAAGUACAGGCUAUUAGGAGAUGGGCCUGGGAAAAAAGAAGCCCAGCAAACAGCCUACGUUGCUCGUCUGCUUUGUCCUGAACGCAGCGACUACUCCGUCUUUGAUCUGCCGCCAGCAGAGCCAACCCGCCCGGCCGCCCGGAGCCACCGCCGGACCGCCCUGACGCCAAGCGGCCAGCCAGCCCCCUCGCCGCCCGGCCGGCUGCUACCCGAACUGCCGGAGCCGCCCAAUCCGCUCAGGUGCUAAGCCCGUCAGCUUCUUCCGAGAGAGCUUCUCUAGUCCUUCGCGCUCCUUGGGUUCACGGGAGUCGGGAGACUGGACGCGUGCAGCAGCCCCGAUUUCAGUUUAUCCCGAGACUGAAGUCAGAAUUAUUGAAGAAUGAAGAGGACCACGGACAUUCAAAAAACGUGCGGUUCGGCUAAUAACUUUGUCAAUGAGGACCACCCUGAUUUUAAAUCCUAGCUCCGCCACUGUAGAUUGUAUGAAGAAUACAAGAGGAAGGACCUUGAGGAAGACUGAAGAACAAGUAGCAAGCACGCAGUUUGGCAAAUGAUGCAGGCCGAUCUGGUUGUUCUAUUGGAGAUAAAAGUUUGGACAGUUUAUAGCCUCAGCGGGGAGCACAUGACAUCGAUGCCAUCACUGAGCUCAAGAUGGUGCCUUGCAAUGAUCAUUGCAGUUCUCUUCAAUACAUCAAUGUCACUUCCAAAGCGGAGUCCCUCCUAGAGGAUAGUCUCUAUUAUCAUAAGGGCGAGUGUCCAACUUGCUCUACAUAAUACAAUGAUGCCUUUAUUAGUAUCUUGUGCGGGUUAUCAGAGACAAGAACACAAUCUUGGAGUACAUGGACAUCAACGCUGAAGGUGUCGGCAGCAAUGACCUGAGUCUCUAGAUGAAGCUUUUGUGGCCAGCAAUGAAAACUGCUUAAAGAUCACAGAUUUGAGAAGGCUUGUUCAUGCUGGAUUGCUAAGGCCUAUGCUCCAGCCUGCAGGUCUAAGCUGAAUGAAAGCAUGGACUUCAACAUUUAAGUGAUGAGGCAGCUAAGUGUACGUAAGUCAAAUUCAACACAUUAAGUCUGAGUAGGUAUUUUUGGUAUUUCUUCUUGUAAAGUUGGUGAAUUGCCAUUGCAAGAAGGUAAUUUUUCGCCUUUUCACAUGUUCAAGCAUAUGUGUGUAGAUUAAAAGUUCUGUUCUUUAGAGGUGCCUUUUGAGAUACAAGGCAUGGUUUAUGUAAAUUUUAGUUUCCUUCAGUGACAUAUUAAUAGAUAUGUAUGGGUUGUCACCCUACUUUUCAAAUCAAUUUGUGUAUUUGAGAUGCCACAUUUUUGAUUAGUAGUUGUUCAGAGAACUAGAUGUUUGCCCAAGAUAAUAUUUGUUAUUGUUUAAUAUUUCUGAAUCUCUGCUGGAAUUCUAACCCUGCAUUAAUAGCAAGGUGUGCCGAUUGAUAAAUAGUGUUGUGUUUGGUCCGUGUCUAGCAGUUGGCAUAUUGACCUAUAUUUUUCCUAUAAUAAUGUCCAUAAUUUGCAUUCAGCUGAUAUUAGAUUUGGCUAAAAGAUAAAGAGACAUAUAUAGGAAUGUUGGUUGCAAACUUACCUCUUUCUAUUGUGUUGUUGGCUUUUAGGAUAGGUUGAGGAGAGUUGCCAAUGCACGAAGGUAAAAUUUCCCAUAUUAGGAGGCAAUCAGUGCAUGACUUAAUUUAAGAAUAUAUAGGUGUUCAUGCUCAUGGUUGUGCUGCCCGUUGGCACUAAAAUGUCUAGAACAUCAUUGACCUACCUAUUUGUGCUGUUGAGUCAUGUAGCAUGUAUGUGAAUUAUUAACGGACUAAUGAAUUUGUUCAUAACAAUUGACGUUUCUACCUGGAACUUCUGAUUUUAACAAAAUGAUUGCUCUUUACCCAUGAUUAUUACCAUUUGAUCGUAAGAUAGUUCACAUAUUCUAAUAGGUAAUUACAUAAUUUUAGUUCGCCCAUAUACCCUGAUUGUAUAUAUCAGCAAUUACUUUAUUUUUGACUACACAAAUUGAGCUUUAUAUUUCCUUUCCGGUGUGCCAAAACCUCAUGCACUGCACCAUGCUUCAAUUGCCUUGGGUUUUCGUUGCUUCUUUUGUGUGUUUGUCCUCAAAUUUUGGAAGAGGCGGGCUCAAGUGUGAUUGUAGUAACAAAUCAUUGGUGACCGAGCGGAGUUUGAUAGGUUGCAAAUGCAUGUUCUUUUGAAAUUCAUAAAUAAAUUCUGAAUGUUACCAACUGCAAGGCAAUUGAAUACUAAUAAUUGAUGCAGUCUGAUGCAGUCUGCUCGGUGUUCUUUUUUGGUAGGAGAGAAAAAAUUGGUGUCUUUGACACACUUGGGAUUUACGGAUCGGUUAUGCCAUGGUUGGAUGUGAAUGGGACAUUGUACAUCCAAAUUUUGUUUGGUUGAUCAGAAUAUUUGUCCGUUUGGCUGUCUUAAUGCAAUCCCAUUCGCAUAAAUUUGGCAAACAUCAGCAAAGAAUUCAGUGGCAGGGAGUGUUUGCCAUAGUGGAAACGAAGCAAAAAUUGGACGGAGCUCACAAUUUUGCUACUACCUUACUAAUAGCUUUGUCAGGAAACUAAACAAGUUGUUGAGGGAACUGCUGCUACAACCGUUGAAGAUGCAAAUAAUGUUCUAUGUGACCAAGCUAAACGCAAAAGGAUUAAUAUUGGUGCCAAGGCCACCAGCUCUGCAAAGAAAGCAAGGCAGUAGCUCUUCCAUGCCCUAGGUUGGGUGGGUACAUACGGGUAUUUUUGUGUGUUCCACUUGCUUCUCAAGCUCGAUCUGCCGCUAGGAGGUUGUGUUGCUGAAGGGAGCUUCUUCACUAUAUCACAUCGCAGCAGUGGUCUAGCCAUCCAGUCUCAAGAUCGUACCUUGGCACACUCUUGGGCAUGCACCUGAUGUAUUUUGUGCAUGUUUGCAAGGCAAGACUUUGACACUUGAAGAAUUACGUCAAGCCAAUGUCAAUACCAAUCCCCUUAUUUACAUCCCUGAACAAAUGGACUCUUAUGCGUUGUAGAUAUCAUCGUUGGCCCAACGGGCGAUGAGAUAUUCAUCGCUGCAUACCUUACUCACGUAAGCUAAAUGACCAAAGCUUUCUAUAUGAUGGACCUCUGCCUAUGUAGCUUUGUUUCAUAAAAGCAAUGUAAAUAAGCUAUCAUGAACUGAUAUCAUACCUUUCUUAUAUAUGCUAUGUAUGGACUUCA
This is a long non-coding RNA of Triticum dicoccoides, 3771 nucleotides long. RefSeq lists it as uncharacterized. The transcript has 13 exons. NCBI's taxonomy places the organism in Eukaryota, Viridiplantae, Streptophyta, Magnoliopsida, Poales, Poaceae. The record is from RefSeq and is a predicted model, not a curated record.